GACGAACGCUGGCGGCGUGCUUAACACAUGCAAGUCGAACGGAAAGGCCCUGCUUUUGUGGGGUGCUCGAGUGGCGAACGGGUGAGUAACACGUGAGUAACCUGCCCUUGACUUUGGGAUAACUUCAGGAAACUGGGGCUAAUACCGGAUAGGAGCUCCUGCUGCAUGGUGGGGGUUUGAAAGUUUCGGUGGUUGGGGAUGGACUCGCGGCUUAUCAGCUUUUUGGUGGGGUAGUGGCAUACCAAGGCUUUGACGGGUAGCCGGACUGGGAGGGUGACCGGCCACAUAGGGACAGAGGUGGGGGCCGGAGGGCAACGUGAGGCAGGAGUGGGGAAUAGUGCAAGAUGGGCGGAAGCCUGAUGCAGCAACGUCGGGUGGGGGAUCACUGCUGUCGGGUUGUAAACCGCGUUCGCCUGGGACGAUGCGUGUGUGACGGUAAUUGGUAAAAAAGCACCGGCUAACUACGUG
Molecule: ribosomal RNA, 468 nt
Filed under: uncultured bacterium
Lineage: Bacteria
Description: partial 16S ribosomal RNA
Rfam family: Bacterial small subunit ribosomal RNA
Source: RNAcentral